This 246-nucleotide ribosomal RNA is filed under the name uncultured bacterium. Its description in RNAcentral is "partial 16S ribosomal RNA". It matches the Rfam family "Bacterial small subunit ribosomal RNA", at positions 15 to 255 of the family's 1533-position model. The record is from RNAcentral.
GAUCCUGGCUCAGGACGAACGCUGGCGGCGCGCCUAACACAUGCAAGUCGAACGAGCGAGAGAGAGCUUGCUUUCUCGAGCGAGUGGCGAACGGGUGAGUAACGCGUGAGGAACCUGCCUCAAAGAGGGGGACAACAGUUGGAAACGACUGCUAAUACCGCAUAAGCCCACGACCCGGCAUCGGGUAGAGGGAAAAGGAGCAAUCCGCUUUGAGAUGGCCGUCGCGUCCGAUUAGCUAGUUGGUGG